Hemibagrus wyckioides is the source of this 7664-nucleotide RNA transcript. It is a transcript of the gene named trichohyalin-like, with no coding region annotated. The record is from RefSeq and is a predicted model, not a curated record. The transcript has 6 exons. NCBI's taxonomy places the organism in Eukaryota, Metazoa, Chordata, Actinopteri, Siluriformes, Bagridae.
UGAUUGGUCAGGGCAAUAUUGUCCCCAUAUCUGCCGAACUCUGUCUCACUUUUUCCAGGAAAUACUUUAUUAUGCUCAGGUGGAACACAGCUGUCUGUAGCAAAUCUGUCAACAUGGCAGGUAGAAAAAAAAGGUUUCUGAAGGACCACAGAAAGGAAUUUAUACAAAAGACAAGAGAACCCACUCAGUUGGCAGAUGAGAUAUUAGACAAAAAAUGUAUUGGAAAAGAAACGUAUGAUACUAUCUUAAGCAAGAGAACCAAGCAAAAACAAACCCGUGAAAUCUUUAACUGUCUCAAUAGCCAAGCUCACUUUGAAUGUGCUUAUGAUUGGCUAAAGGAGAAUGAGGCAGCUCUGUUAGAAGAACUGGAGAACAGGGACUCUGAGGCUGCAGCACCACAGGAAAAACGUGCCAGACUCAAAAAUGUGGAUGAAACAGAUAAUAUUACAGAAGUUCCUGAUCUCAAGCAGAUAUCCACCUUUGCCAAACUGGAAGACUGGGUCUCUGACCCCAACAUCAGCCAAAACCUGUUGCAUGACUUUGAGGAAAAGCUAACUAAUGAGAGCAUGGCGGAGUUGAAAAAAGAAUUGAAAGACAAAGAACCAAAAAAAAGCUUAUGCUUUAAUGCUGACAAUAUUGAUGAAAUCAGGAAAAAUAAGGAACUUGACACAUUUCUCUAUACAACAAAGGAUGCAAAAUUUCCUAAACUCGCACUUAAAAUGUUUUUUAAAAAAUGUGGUGCUGCAUCAUCAGGAAAUGAAGCUCAAAGCUCCACUGAUCAUGAAGAGACCAUGGACACAAUUACAGAUUUAGGAAGCAGUGGAUAUGGAUCGUUAAGCUCAAGUCUUAAUAAUAGCUAUAGUUCACACAAUAUUGACUGUUUAAGACAAAACAAUAAAAGCUUACCAGAUGAAGAUCCCCUCAUUGUGUGCAGUCCCACUGGAGACAAGGCUAUUAAGAUUCAUGAGAAUAAAGACAAGGAGAUUGAGUCUAAAACCACUGAACAGCACCAUGGGGGAUCAUUUAUCCUAUUACACCAUGAGGCCAAAUCUGAUGCAUCAUCACAGGAGCCUAUGGAGAGUCAGGAUAUUCACAUUGAUGAGAUGGAAGAGCAGUCUCAAACAUCAGACUCGGUGAAAAGGCAUGAAGAUGUGUGUCUGCAAAAAUCUGAACAAUUUACCAAAAAAGAAAGACCACAAGAAGAUGGACUUGGAAGGAUGGAGAUGCAGGAAACACACAUUAGAGAGACGGAUGAUGAACCUCAACGAUCAUAUGAGCCAAAUGACCCAAAGUAUGACGAUGUCUUCCUGCACCAAAAUGAACAAUUCACCAAGAAAGAAACACAACUAGAAGAUGGAAGAACAGACAUGGAGGAUACACACAUCAGAAAGACAGAUGAGGAACCUCAAAGAUCAUAUGGACCAAAUGACACAUGGCGUGAAGAUGCGUCUGUGAGGCGAAAUGAGUCAGCCAGGAGUGGAAAUAUGAUCAUGCAGCAAAAUGAGCAAGAAAACAUGCAGCUUGGCUCUGAGAAUAAAGACAAGGAGAUUGAGUCUAAAACCACUGAACAGCACCAUGGGGGAUCAUUUAUCCUAUUACACCAUGAGGCCAAAUCUGAUGCAUCAUCACAGGAGCCUAUGGAGAGUCAGGAUAUUCACAUUGAUGAGAUGGAAGAGCAGUCUCAAACAUCAGACUCGGUGAAAAGGCAUGAAGAUGUGUGUCUGCAAAAAUCUGAACAAUUUGCCAAAAAAGUAAGACCACAAGAAGAUGGACUUGGAAGGAUGGAGAUGCAGGAAACACACAUUAGAGAGACAGAUGAUGAACCUCAACGAUCAUAUGAGCCAAAUGACCCAAGGUAUGAAAGGCAGAAAAAUGAACAAUUCACCAAAAAAGAAACACAACUAGAAUAUGGAAGAACAGACAUGGAGGAUACACACAUCAGAACGACAGAUGAGGAACCUCAAAGAUCAUAUGGACCAAAUGACACAAGGCACAAAUAUGCGUCUGUGAGGCGACAUGAGUCAGCCACAUGUGGAGAAAUGAUCAUGCAGCAAAAUGAAAACAUGCAGCUUGACCCUGAGAAUAAAGACAAUGAGAUUGAGUCUAAAACCACUGAACAGCACCAUGGGGGAUCAUUUAUCCAAUUGCACUAUGAGGCCAAAUCUGAUGCAUCAUCACAGGAGCCUAUGGAGAGUCAGGAUAUUCACAAUGAUGAGAUGGAAGAGCAGUCUCAAACAUCAGACUCGGUGAAAAGGCAUGAAGAUGUGUGUCUGCAAAAAUCUGAACAAUUUACCAAAAAAGAAAGACCACAAGAAGAUGGACUUGGAAGGAUGGAGAUGCAGGAAACACACAUUAGAGAGACGGAUGAUGAACCUCAACGAUCAUAUGAGCCAAAUGACCCAAAGUAUGACGAUGUCUUCCUGCACCAAAAUGAACAAUUCACCAAGAAAGAAACACAACUAGAAGAUGGAAGAACAGACAUGGAGGAUACACACAUCAGAAAGACAGAUGAGGAACCUCAAAGAUCAUAUGGACCAAAUGACACAAGGCACAAAUAUGCGUCUGUGAGGCGACAUGAGUCAGCCACAUGUGGAGAAAUGAUCAUGCAACAAAAUGUGCAAGAAAAUAUGCAGCUUGACCCUGAGCCUUUUUAUCAAAAGCAACAGCAGGAGAGCAAUGCAGGCUCAGUAGCAGAGAGUACACAAAGCAAUGGAACAGAGAUCUUGGCACAAAAUGCUAACACAGCUAUAAUAGCUUCAAAAGGAAGUUUGAAGUUUCAGCUUAAAGCUACAAAAAAGAGGGAAACAUCAAAAUACCAGAAGGAAAAGAAGAAAGAAGAGAAGGAUAGACUACUUAAGUGGGCAAAGAGACAAUGUAAUGGCUCUAAAGAAGAGUUAGAACAGAUAUUUGACCAGAUCUCAAUAAAAAACCUGGUAGAACAUGCUGAUUAUCCAUGUUUUACUGCUGAAAAUGUCAUGGUGUAUAAAAACUUAACUGCUGAGAGCCAAAUUAUCUUUAUCACUAAUGAUAAUAAUUCCAUCAGCACUAUGACUAAGGUCAAUUAUCAAAUGUUUGUUUGUAACAUUAGUAAAGCAAUAAUCCUAGGUCCUAAAGAACCUACUGAAAAAAUGAUUGAAUAUGCUGAGGACAAGGUGAAUAUAGAUAAGUGUACAAACUUUGUUUUCAAAGUGUUUGCUCCAGUUCUUGCAGAGUUCAAAAAGAUUCAGAAGCAAGAAAAAUUGUACUCUCUCAUUGUACAGUAAAAAUCCAGAAAUUUGUAAUGGAACACUGUGUCUACAAUAAAUAUCUAUGAAUGAAAAGGAAACCAUUCUCAAACUGAGAAAAUAAAGAGAAACUAUCAAAGACAAUCCUCAAGCAUCUGGCAUAGCCAAUACAACAAUUUGAAAUAUCCAGAAAGAGAAAAAUCACUAGUAUACUGAGCAACAGACACAAUAUUAGUCAGUCAAAGUAAACAACAGCUGGUGACAGAUUUUGAGAAAGCUGUGAAGAAAAACCACAAAAGUCAGUACAACAUCAACAGCCUUCACAGGGCAGGGGUAAAGAUUGGUGACGUAGGAAUAUACAAAUAAUGAGAGGCUUAAAAUUAACAAAGUAAGGAAACUGAAUGGAUAGUUUGCAGUUCGGCUGAACCUAAACAUGGUUUAUAGAACUUUGUGGUGAGUUUGAGACAACUGGCUACAGGUAAGGUGUAAUCAAAUGUGACUGUGAACACUGAAGUGGGAAUUGGAGUCCAGUUUGUCCAUGUUUGUAGCCCACAGUGGUCUGGGAUGCAUCCAUGGGAUAGUGAUAUCCUGUCAGAACAGCAAUACUGAAGAAGAUGCAGGUGCAUGCAUUUUAAAACAGUACUUGACCUGACACAAGGAAGGGAUUUGAAAUCUGAUAUUUAAAUUUAAAUACUUAAAUUUACUUCGUUUACUCCACUUUCAAAUCCACCUGUCCUUAUUUUUGCUUGCCAAAAAUUGUGCUAAAACUGAUAUAAAAUGUUCUAUAUAUUGUUUUGUCUAACACACACAGAUAUAAAUACCAGGAAAUAAAAGUCUCACAUAUAUACAAAAAUUAUUUGAUUUCAAAUGAAUGAUUGUAUUGGCCUUGCUGUUUCAAUAUUUUUCAAGUAGACAUUACUGAAGUUGAAGGAGUUGGCUGCUGCAAUUAUGGCAGCAGAUCAGACAACCAUAAUGAACUAUCUGUUCAGAUACCUGCUCAAACAACAGCAGGCAGUGACGCAGGAACUGGUCCAGGGGCUCCGCACUACCACAGAAGAGUUGCUGGCACUCCAUGGCAGUUCUGCAGGCAUAAUGGGCUGAUGGAUAAGGGCAAGGAAUUGCACUUUGUGGCAGCCAAUCCUUCUAUUGGCCGUUUUAUGGCAACUAUGGUUAUCACAGAGGAUUAAGAAGAAUGAUAAAUCCUUCCUACUGAAUGUCAGGAUUUCACCUCCUGGCCUGUUUGCUGAUGCAGUUAGCAUUGUCAUCAACAUGUAUCAUGAACCGAAGCAACAGUUUGCAUGUUCAAAGAGCCGACCCCUCACUGCAUCUGAGAGCUGAGGGCUUCCAUCAGUUAUUCUCAGCUGGGGCCUAGCUCCCACAGGGAGGAGCAGAAGACCAGUUUUGGUGCUGGUACCCCUCAUUGGAAAGAUGGGGAGCUGAGCAACACAUACAAAGCAAGCCAUGUAAGGAGAUUUCUGAUCUGAGGACUGUGAUCUUCAUGAGAAUGGCUAAAAAGAAGACUUGAUGCUUGUUUAUGCAGGUCCCACUUGGUAUGGGUCUUAGUACACCAUUACAUUGUAUAUUUAGUCCCCCUCAGAGUCCACAGGAUGUGUGCCUACCAAUCCCCCUCUCUAGCCAGUUCAGCUGGUACCUGCCAGUAUGCUCUUUCAGGACCCCGAAUAGACCAAUUCUAUCAAAAAUAUGAUUCCUCUUUCAGAGCAUUUGGCAGUGUGGCAGCUUCUGCCUAAUAUAGCUCACUGGGGAUUUAAUACUAUAAAGAAUAGUUACAGAAUUAAUUUCACCUUUCAUUGCCUUUGAUUCAAAGGUGUUACCCACCAUGGUAUACACAGAACAAAUUCCUUCUUCAGAACUAUCAGUCUCUCAUGGGCAAAGUGAUCAUAGAAAAUGUGGCCCUCCAUGAAAAGGGGUCAGGCUUUUACAGCUGGCAUUUCUUAGUACCCAGAAGGAAUGGGAGACUACAUUUAAUUUUAGAUCUGCACUGACUGAACCAUACUCUUUGGACAUACAGGUUAAAGAUGCUUACACUUAAACUUCAAUCAAUUCACAAAUUUGUAUUAGUUUGUCAUGAUAGACCAAAAGGACACAUACUUCCACAUCAUGAUUCGACCAGAACACAGCAAGGUAAUCAGGUUUUCUUUUGCUGGUGAAGCUUACCAGUGUCAAGUUCUAAAAUUCUAGUGAUGAGUUUUAAAACAACAGUUUAGUAUCUUAUGUUUGUGUUUUCAUAAAGAAAACAGUGACCUUGUGUCUCAAUCAAAUGCACAGGUGAUUCUAUAUGAAGAGAAUUUCUUAUGUAUAAGCAAGUGUAAAAGUUUUAUUUUCGAAGCAUUUGAAACUCUAGUUAUCAAAAACACAAGCUCUGCUCUCUCAUCUGUGAGUCAAAUCCAGAUAAACACUCUCCUGAGAAACACUCUGUAUCUUUAAAAAUAUAAUUCAAAGGUAUAUUAAAAAAAGUCUGUCUCUCUUCUACCAUCGACAUUUGUGACCAUUUAUUGUUUUUAUUAUUUUUUUAUUUUUUUUAAAUAAAUGUUGUUGGUUAUGCAGUCAAUCAGGUUUGAACCCAUACUGAAAUAUUUAUUAUAAUGAUGAGGAAAAACAAUGUUACUCCACUAGGGGGCUGUAAACUCAUAUACUGACAAUGUGUUAAUGUGGGGUUCAAGAACGGGUGAAAUUAUGAAAACUUUUAUACAAUUUUUAUUUUUAUUUUGAGGAAGUUGUGUUUGAAGCUCUGUGUGCACACACGGCUGGAUAGGAUGAAGGGAUGAAGUGAAUAUGCGUGAUGAAGGGAAUAUGUGCCAGUAAGUCUAUAUAAGGGCAUCACAUUACUCCAGCUUCUACUUGUAUGAAGGAAUGCCCGGGGUGUGAUAAGAGACACAGUGUCUUGUUCCCUUCUCAGGGAACCAGGUGUUAUAUGUGACCUGGUGUAUUUCCCUAUUGAGGGAACUUAACCCUGCAUCAUGACGCUAUGGGAAUGUCAAUAGCCAUGCUGCCACAUGUCAGUGUCUGUCCCAGACACUUUAAGGGGAACACUUCUGGCCAAGGCAAUGGGUGAGGUGAUACCCCUAGUAGAGUGAGCUCUAACACUUAGAGGCGUGGCAAUAUCACACACCUCAUAGGCCUGGGUAAUGGCCUCUACUACCCAGUGUACCAAGCGCUGCUUGGAGACGAGAUUGCCCUUGUUCUGGCUCCCAAAGCAGACAAACAGGCAGGAGGACUUAUGCCAUGAGCUCAGGCAGUGGACAUACGUUAUCAGGGCCUUAGACAGCCUCUCCUGUUCUGGCUACUCAUGGGGCGGAGGACAGAAGGCAUGCAAGAUGACUGAACAACUGGCCAUCCUGGCACCUUGGGGAUAUACCCCACCCUGGGGAGCAGGAUAGCCAUGGACAUGCCAGGGGCAAAUUCUAAGAGCCUGCAGAUCUCCUACCCUUCGAAGGAAGGCCAAGACUAAGUGCAGAAGUCAGUAGUCACAUACACUUUUAAAGUAGAGGGGGACAGCCCCCAAAUAAGGUGUGACUACAACAUUACAAGCACUGUACCAACCGGGCAGUGACCUGGGUCCUGACCAUGCUGACCACACCAGAGGCAAAAAAGCCUCCACUUCAGACCAUAGAGCUUUCUAGUGGAGGGGAGUCCUAGCAUUCAACAGAGUCUGCACUACCUGCAUUACUAGGUGGUUGUCCUGCAUCUUCAAUAAACAAGCUACAGUCCAGAAUGCAGCCGCCAGAGUUCUUAGCAGAUCAAGAAAAUAUGAUCAUAUAACCCCAGUAUUAUCAUCCCUGCACUGGCUACCUGUCAAGUUUAGAACUGAUUACAAACUGGCACUACUUACCUACAAGACUCUAAAUGUUUUAGCUCCCACGUAGCUAACCAGUCUUCUGACACACUACAAUCCACCACACUAUCUAAGAUCACAAAACUCAGGACUUAUGGUAGUUCUCAGAAUUAAAGUCUAUAAAAGGGGGUAGAGCGUUUUCGUAUUUAUCCUGAGGCAUCCAGAGAUGGACCAACUUCAGCUGGAUUCUGCUUCAUAAGGAUUUGGGUUUAUCAAAGCAAUGCUGCCAGCCCUAUGUGGACUUUGAGGAUGACAACAACCUCCUAAGUAAUACACACACUAACAUUAUACAUCACACUGUAGACUGUACAUAACUGCAGAAAGGACAUUGUUCAUAUCACACUCUUCUGUGUUUAGAAUGAUUUAUAAUCACACUCUCCGCUGUCACCCAGAUGAAGAUGGGUUCCCAUAUGAGUCUGGUUCCUCUCAAGGUUUCUUCCUCAUACCAUCUAAGGGAGUUUUUCCUUGCCACAGUUGCCAGAGGCUUGCUCACUAGGGAUGAUUUUGUCUAACAUCUAGGACUUUUUACCCUAUGUUUUUUUGUUUCCUACUGUAUGUUCUGUAAAGCUGCACAAUGUUCAUUGUUA